GUCUCGAUUUAGUAGCACAUAUACUAAAAUUAAAGCAACACAGAGAAGACUAGAUGGCCAUUGUACAAGAAUGGCACGCAAAGUCAGUAAUAGAUUUGAGAUCUUA
Molecule: small nuclear RNA, 106 nt
Organism: Phodopus roborovskii (desert hamster)
Lineage: Eukaryota; Metazoa; Chordata; Mammalia; Rodentia; Cricetidae
Source: RefSeq, a predicted model, not a curated record